UUUUUCUUUAUCUUUUAUCUCCAGCUAAACUCUUUUUCUUCCUCUUUCUUCAUACUUCACCUACUUGUCUCGGUGCGCCAAGAGAGUAUGUGACAAGUAGAUGUGGAAAUACGAUAUGCUAUGUGGCUAUACUGUUAAGACAGGUUAUUCGACAUUACACCAGAACGUGUACAGCUUGGAAUAUGAUGAAGUGGGCAUGGUUAUUACGUGAGUCUUGUGCAGUGCUGUACUAUCAAAGGAGAUGGUGUUCGCAUUGAAAAUGUUGCUCGAUAAGCUCUUCACUAGAGAUGCACGGGUUUGAAGAGGGCUAUUGGGAAUUAACCGUGAGAGCUCUGAUUCCAUUUUCCCCGACAAAUCAAGUCUUCUACUCUUCCUCUCCUUGUAAGUGAGUGUAUAUGGUGCCCAUCGAACGACAUUACUAUCUUUUGUUUUUAUUUUUAAUGUUCCUUGAUCCGAUCUAGGAGUUUUCAAACUUCCCUUAAUGCUUCUUCUUUUAAUUAUGGAUGUA
This 508-nucleotide long non-coding RNA is filed under the name Medicago truncatula (barrel medic). RNAcentral describes it as "lncRNA gene15090". The record is from RNAcentral. Lineage: Eukaryota; Viridiplantae; Streptophyta; Magnoliopsida; Fabales; Fabaceae.